This 492-nucleotide ribosomal RNA is filed under the name uncultured bacterium. Its description in RNAcentral is "partial 16S ribosomal RNA". It matches the Rfam family "Bacterial small subunit ribosomal RNA", at positions 29 to 507 of the family's 1533-position model. The record is from RNAcentral.
AGUGAACGCUGGCGGUAGGCCUAACACAUGCAAGUCGAACGGCAGCACAGUAAGAGCUUGCUCUUACGGGUGGCGAGUGGCGGACGGGUGAGGAAUACAUCGGAAUCUACUUUUUCGUGGGGGAUAACGUAGGGAAACUUACGCUAAUACCGCAUACGACCUACGGGUGAAAGCAGGGGAUCUUCGGACCUUGCGCGAUUGAAUGAGCCGAUGUCGGAUUAGCUAGUUGGCGGGGUAAAGGCCCACCAAGGCGACGAUCCGUAGCUGGUCUGAGGGGAUGAUCAGCCACACUGGAACUGAGACACGGUCCAGACUCCUACGGGAGGCAGCAGUGGGGAAUAUUGGACAAUGGGCGCAAGCCUGAUCCAGCCAUACCGCGUGAGUGAAGAAGGCCUUCGGGUUGUAAAGCCCUUUUGUUGGGAAAGAAAAGCAGCAGGUUAAUACCCCGCUGUUCUGACGGUACCCAAAGAAUAAGCACCGGCUAACUUCGUG